This 253-nucleotide ribosomal RNA is filed under the name uncultured bacterium. RNAcentral's name for it is "partial 16S ribosomal RNA". It matches the Rfam family "Bacterial small subunit ribosomal RNA", at positions 524 to 776 of the family's 1533-position model. The record is from RNAcentral.
UACGGGGGGAGCAAGCGUUGUUCGGAUUUACUGGGCGUAAAGGGCUUGUAGGUGGCCAACUAAGUCAGACGUGAAAUCCCUCGGCUUAACCGGGGAACUGCGUCUGAUACUGGAUGGCUUGAGUGUGGGAGAGGGAUGCGGAAUUCCAGGUGUAGCGGUGAAAUGCGUAGAUAUCUGGAGGAACACCGGUGGCGAAGGCGGCAUCCUGGACCAUUACUGACACUGAAAAGCGAAAGCCAGGGGAGCAAACGGG